ACCUAAAACUAUGUGUUAUCAUUUUCAUGUACCACCUACUGAUGAGUUUUCUUAUAGCCAAUGGUGAAGGAGAAGUCCUAGAUGACCAAGUGCUUGCUCGAGAAUGCUAUAUCGCAACUCUCAAAGAUUUUCUUAUCACCAAUAAAGGGCUCUAUUAUUACAAAAUUAUGCCCUUCAAGAUGAAGAAUGUAGGAGCCGCAUAUUAAUGCC
This 210-nucleotide long non-coding RNA is filed under the name Elaeis guineensis (African oil palm). Its description in RNAcentral is "long non-coding RNA (EGUI_LNC002666)". The record is from RNAcentral. Lineage: Eukaryota; Viridiplantae; Streptophyta; Magnoliopsida; Arecales; Arecaceae.